Molecule: transfer RNA, 92 nt
Filed under: Infirmifilum uzonense
Lineage: Archaea; Thermoproteati; Thermoproteota; Thermoprotei; Thermofilales; Thermofilaceae
Description: Thermofilum uzonense tRNA
Rfam family: tRNA
About the family: Transfer RNA (tRNA) molecules are approximately 80 nucleotides in length.
Source: Rfam by way of RNAcentral
GGGCCCGUGGCGUAGCAUGGAAGCGUGGCGGCCUGCGGAGCAUACGGCUCGUAGAUAGCCGUAGGUCCCGGGUUCGAGUCCCGGCGGGCCCG